Long non-coding RNA from Alosa sapidissima (American shad), 282 nucleotides. RefSeq lists it as uncharacterized. NCBI's taxonomy places the organism in Eukaryota, Metazoa, Chordata, Actinopteri, Clupeiformes, Clupeidae. The record is from RefSeq and is a predicted model, not a curated record. The transcript is spliced from 3 exons.
GAGGAAGGGAAGAAGGAAGGCCCUGGCCAAGAGGGACAGGCUGUGGACACUGUGCCUUCAGCAACUCUGACCCAGGAUCAGUCCAAGUGUGAAGUGUGUGAGCAGCUAACGAGGGACCCUGUCAUCACCAGCUGUGGACACAGUUUCUGUAGGCAGUGCAUCAGCAGCUCCUGGAGCCAGUCUCAGGAGACUACAGCUGUGCCAAGUGUGGGAAACGAUGCAGAACACACUUUUUACAGACAAUGCCAGAGGCACAACCCAUUGAUAACUAGAUGUACCGCA